Molecule: long non-coding RNA, 1872 nt
Organism: Struthio camelus australis
Lineage: Eukaryota; Metazoa; Chordata; Aves; Struthioniformes; Struthionidae
Source: RefSeq, a predicted model, not a curated record
GAUGCAGAUACCCCCCCUCAGCUCCCGGCCUGCCACGUAGGCCUGUCCAUCCAUGGCCUUGCACCAACAGCUCUCGAGAAGCCCUAGGAGCCGUUUUGCAGCACGGAGGGGCUGUUCCUGGCUUCAGCGUUGAACUCUGCCCACUGCCUCAGGGCCAGCAUCUCAGGAGGUGAGCUGGGGACAGGAUAUCCUUACGCUUCUCCAUGAAGACUGGACCAAGCUAUCUGGAUCACAGUCCACGUACCCCACGGGAAACUUAGCUCCUGCCACACCUGGAGCUUUGGGCCCUGGGGGUGCCUGGGAAGCCCACCUGAUGUCCAAGGAGGCACGCAGCACCCUACAUGCCGGUACCGAUCACCUUUGAAGGUGCUUUUGGGCACUCAAGAUAUCUGCCCAGGCUGGCAGAUGUGACCCAGGACCUGCAGGAGCGGUGCCCUCUCGAAGAGGCAAAGGAAGAGCCCCACGACGGAGGAGCCGGGCGCAGGAGCCUGCCAGGGCUUCAGCGUGGACUUUCACCCCAGAUCUCGUGUAGCCAAAUCUGCUGGCGCCUCUCUGAAAGGAAGAACUGCGCUUAGAGGUUUUCUUUCGCUUUCCUUUGAACACACUUCUGUUGGUUACCUUGGUAUUUUCAGUCCCUGCUGCACUGAGUGACAGACACCUGCGUGCAGGAGGGCAGCCGAGGGCUCACCUAGCAGACAAGGCAUAUGUGCAUAUGCAAACACGUGCAGAACCCUUCCUCCGCAGCAGGGGCCCCACUCUGGCCCCUUGCCCCGAGGGCAGCCACGCGGUUGCAGACCCAAGCUGCCCUUGGCGCUGGCCCAAUCUGCACCUUCCGCGCAGGGAGACAGUGGCCCUGCGUGCCCCUCCAUGCGAAUUAGGAGGUCAUGGAAACACAUCUAAUACUUCAGCUCAAGCUGUACCAGUUUUUGGUUUCCAGCUUCUUUCACUCAGUGUGCCUGUUAAACUGCCCGGAAGGGGCUGAAACACACAGAUAGCAAAAUUACUAUUUGUGUUAGAGCAACUCCUGAGGCACUAGGAGUUGUGCCAGGUUUCAUGCCAGGCACCAUAAAAACAUAGGUUAGAAGACACAUCAUAUAUAUAUAUAUAAAAAAAAUAUAUAUUAUGUAUAUAUAUAUAUAUAUAUACACACACACACACAUAUGUGUGUAUGCACAUGCGUGCAGGUGCACACAUGCGUAGAGCAGCCUUGCUAGACAUGUUCCAUAUGUCCGCUAUGCUGUGAAUCAAGGUUGGAAGAAAAUCAUUACAUACAAACUUUGCUCCAAAUUCUGUAAAACAAACACACGAAAUCAGCUACAAACCAGAACUAUAACCGCAGCCCACUGGGUCAUCUCACCCAGCCUCAAAUCUUCUGGUAAACAACAUGUAUAAUAAUAGCCACUCUGCUCCUCUAAGCAUCUCUGCACGUUUAUUGUAUGCAAUGUAGUGUAUAAAAUAUAUAUCUCCGUGUAAUUAGCAGUGUUCUGAGUGGUGACUCAGACAUUCCAGUAAGCUUUUUGCUUGUCGUUGGUGUGUGAAAUGUAACUUUAGUCAUUUUUUCCAAUGACUUUGGACUUUAAAAACAGUAAUUAGCAAAGUCAGCUUGUUAUCAGCUCCUGUCAGUAACCCGUCCUUAUGCCAGUCCUUCAUUUUGUUUUGGUCACGGACAAAACUUUGGCACUCAUUUCUCAAGGCUUGCAUUUGUCUGGAGGACUGAGGCAGUCAAGUGAGGAAAAUAGGCCCUAAACCUGCAAACGCUUUCACGCAUUUUAAUUUUAAGCACUUGAAUAGUUUCAUUGAAGUAGCUCCAGAUUGGGUCUUUAUAUAGCAUGGUAAAUAGUAGGCAAGACAUGAAAUAAAACUUUAGAAGCA